RNAcentral lists this ribosomal RNA (564 nucleotides) under Sinaspidytes wrasei. RNAcentral's name for it is "SSU rRNA". It matches the Rfam family "Eukaryotic small subunit ribosomal RNA", at positions 33 to 603 of the family's 1831-position model. Lineage: Eukaryota; Metazoa; Arthropoda; Insecta; Coleoptera; Aspidytidae. The record is from RNAcentral.
UGUCUCAAAGAUUAARCCAUGCAUGUCUCAGUACAAGCCGAAAAUAAGGUGAAACCGCGAAAGGCUCAUUAAAUCAGUUAUGGUUCCUUAGAUCGUACCCACAUUUACUUGGAUAACUGUGGUAAUUCUAGAGCUAAUACAUGCAAACAGAGUUCCGACCGGUGACGGGAGGAAUGCUUUUAUUAGAUCAAAACCAAUCGGCAAUGGUGACUCUGAAUAACUUUUGGCUGAUCGCACGGUCCAGCACCGGCGACGCAUCUUUCAAAUGUCUGCCUUAUCAACUGUCGAUGGUAGGUUCUGCGCCUACCAUGGUUGUAACGGGUAACGGGGAAUCAGGGUUCGAUUCCGGAGAGGGAGCCUGAGAAACGGCUACCACAUCCAAGGAAGGCAGCAGGCGCGCAAAUUACCCACUCCCGGCACGGGGAGGUAGUGACGAAAAAUAACGAUACGGGACUCAUCCGAGGCCCCGUAAUCGGAAUGAGUACACUUUAAAUCCUUUCACGAGGACAAUUGGAGGGCAAGUCUGGUGCCAGCAGCCGCGGUAAUUCCAGCUCCAAUAGCGUA